RNAcentral lists this ribosomal RNA (458 nucleotides) under uncultured bacterium. Its description in RNAcentral is "partial 16S ribosomal RNA". It matches the Rfam family "Bacterial small subunit ribosomal RNA", at positions 338 to 795 of the family's 1533-position model. The record is from RNAcentral.
CCUACGGGUAGCAGCAGUGGGGAAUAUUGCACAAUGGGGGAAACCCUGAUGCAGCGACGCCGCGUGAGUGAAGAAGUAUUUCGGUAUGUAAAGCUCUAUCAGCAGGGCAGAAAUAGCGACCUUUGGGUCGCCAGACGGUACCUGAUUAAGAAGCCCCGGCUAACUACGUGCCAGCAGCCGCGGUAAUACGUCGGGGGCAAGCGGUAUCCGGAUUUACUGGGUGUAAAGGGGGCGUAGACGGCAGCGCAAGUCUGAAGUGAAAUGCCGGGGCUUAACCCCGGAAAUGCUUUGGAAACUGUGCAGCUAGAGUGCAGGAGAGGUAAGUGGAAUUCCUAGUGUAGCGGUGAAAUGCGUAGAUAUUAGGAGGAACACCAGUGGCGAAGGCGGUUUACUGGACUGUAACUGACGUUGAGGCUCGAAAGCGUGGGGAGCAAACAGGAUUAGAUACCCCGGUAGUC